UACGUAGGGGGCGAGCGUUGUCCGGAAUCAUUGGGCGUAAAGAGCUCGUAGGCGGCUUUGCAAGUCGGGUGUGAAAACUCCAGGCUCAACCUGGAGCCGCCACUCGAUACUGCAAUGGCUAGAGUCCGGCAGGGGACCAUGAAAUUCCUGGUGUAGCGGUGAAAUGCGCAGAUUUCAGGAAGAACACCAGUGGCGAAGGCGGUGGUCUGGGCCGGCACUGACGCUGAGGAGCGAAAGCGUGGGGA
RNAcentral lists this ribosomal RNA (245 nucleotides) under uncultured bacterium. Its description in RNAcentral is "partial 16S ribosomal RNA". It matches the Rfam family "Bacterial small subunit ribosomal RNA", at positions 524 to 767 of the family's 1533-position model. The record is from RNAcentral.